CUUUAGGGCUAGCCUCAAGGUGAGAGAUACGGAGGUAGAGCACUGAAUGUCCUAGGGGGUAUUGCACCUACCGAAGACUAUCAAACUCCGAAUGCCGUCAUCUUAUACUUGGGAGUCAGACUGUGGGUGAUAAGAUUCAUAGUCGAAAGGGCAACAGCCCAGAUCGUCAGCUAAGGUCCCUAAAUGUAAGUUAAGUGGUAAAGGAUGUGGGAUUGCACAGACAACCAGGAUGUUGGCUUAGAAGCAGCCACUCAUUCAAAGAGUGCGUAAUAGCUCACUGGUCGAGUGAUCCUGCGCCGAAGAUUUCCGGGGCUAAAACUUACUACCGAAGCUACGGCAUCAGUAAUGAUGGGUAGGGGAGCUUCCCAUACGGGUUGAAGCAUGACCGUAAGGACAUGUGGACAGUAUGGGAGUGAGAAUGUUGGCAUGAGUAGCGAGAUGUGGGUGAGAAUCCCACAGGCCGUAAACCCAAGGUUUCCAGGGGAAGGUUCGUCCGCCCUGGGUUAGUCGGGACCUAAGCUGAGGCCGAAAGGCGUAGGUGAUGGACAACAGGUUGAUAUUCCUGUACUACCGAUAACCGUUUGAGAGAAGGGAUGACACAGUAGGAUAAGCUAAGCACACUGUUGGUUAUGUGUGCCCAAGCAUUGAGGCAGUCAAAGUAGGCAAAUCCGCUUUGAUAAUGCUGGGAUGUGAUGGGGAGCGAAAUUUAGUAGCGAAGUAGCUGAUUUCACACUGUCAAGAAAAGUCUCUAUCGAGGUUAAAGGUACCCGUACCGCAAACCGACACAGGUGGGUGAGGAGAGUAUCCUAAGGC
Molecule: ribosomal RNA, 813 nt
Filed under: Clostridioides difficile
Lineage: Bacteria; Bacillati; Bacillota; Clostridia; Peptostreptococcales; Peptostreptococcaceae
Description: bacterial LSU rRNA
Rfam family: Bacterial large subunit ribosomal RNA
Source: RNAcentral